AGGAGCAACAGCCCUAGUGGCGGGGCCAGCUCUGGAAACCUGGAUUCAGCUCCGGCAGGAACUCCGUCUGCAGGGCCUGGAGGCUCCGGGGCGGG
This is a non-coding RNA of Canis lupus familiaris (dog), 95 nucleotides long. NCBI's taxonomy places the organism in Eukaryota, Metazoa, Chordata, Mammalia, Carnivora, Canidae. The record is from Rfam.